This 101-nucleotide small nuclear RNA is filed under the name Zalophus californianus (California sea lion). The record is from RNAcentral. Lineage: Eukaryota; Metazoa; Chordata; Mammalia; Carnivora; Otariidae.
AAUAAAUAAAAUAUUUUUUAAAAAUUGGAAUGAUGCAGAAGAGAUUAGUACGGCUCCUGCAUGAAGGUGACACACAAAUUCGUGAAGCGUUCCCUAUUUUU